Long non-coding RNA from Drosophila albomicans, 363 nucleotides. RefSeq lists it as uncharacterized. The transcript is spliced from 4 exons. The record is from RefSeq and is a predicted model, not a curated record. Lineage: Eukaryota; Metazoa; Arthropoda; Insecta; Diptera; Drosophilidae.
GCAGUCACUUUGUGCACUGCUUCCAUCUCUUUUUCAACGCAAAGCCGCAGCGAGAGGUUGUCUUUGUGUUUGCGAUGGAUAUACUUAAUUAUAUUUAUAAAAUGAUUCUAAUGGCUUGGAAUAGUUAAUAGAUGCCGCAUUAAUCUCUGUCGGAUUCAGUUAAACAUAAAUAUGAAAUGAAUGAAUAUAAUAUUCUACUGCCGGUUCUUUCAUAAACCACGUGCACGUGUUGUCAGAAUGUUAAGCUAGCUCCACGUGUUCAGAAUAUCUGUUUGAAAUUAGGCACUUGGCUUUUUUCUAAGUUGGCAGCUGUGGACUAGGAAAGUACUUCGAAUAGAAUAUUCCACUUUGCUAUGAAAAAAG